RNAcentral lists this ribosomal RNA (520 nucleotides) under uncultured Glomus. RNAcentral describes it as "SSU rRNA". It matches the Rfam family "Eukaryotic small subunit ribosomal RNA", at positions 569 to 1090 of the family's 1831-position model. The record is from RNAcentral. Lineage: Eukaryota; Fungi; Glomeromycota; Glomeromycetes; Glomerales; Glomeraceae.
AGCAGCCGCGGUAAUUCCAGCUCCAAUAGCGUAUAUUAAAGUUGUUGCAGUUAAAAAGCUCGUAGUUGAAUUUCGGGGUCAGUAGAUUGGUCGUGCCACUGGUAUGUACUGGUCUUACUGGCUCCUCCUUCCUGAUGAACCGUAAUGCCAUUAAUUUGGUGUUGCGGGGAGACUGGACUGUUACUUUGAAAAAAUUAGAGUGUUUAAAGCAGGCUAACGCUUGAAUACAUUAGCAUGGAAUAAUGAAAUAGGAUGUUCGAUCUUAUUUUGUUGGUUUCUAGGAUUGACGUAAUGAUUAAUAGGGAUAGUUGGGGGCAUUAGUAUUCAAUUGUCAGAGGUGAAAUUCUUGGAUUUAUUGAAGACUAACUACUGCGAAAGCAUUUGCCAAGGGUGUUUUCAUUAAUCAAGAACGAAAGUUAGGGGAUCGAAGACGAUCAGAUACCGUCGUAGUCUUAACCAUAAACUAUAGCCGACUAGGGAUCGGAUGAUGUUAAUUUUUAAUGACUCAUUCGGCGCCUUA